CCUGGGGAGUACGGCCGCAAGGUUAAAACUCAAAUGAAUUGACGGGGGCCCGCACAAGCGGUGGAGCAUGUGGUUUAAUUCGAUGCAACGCGAAGAACCUUACCUGGUCUUGACAUCCACAGAACUUAGCAGAGAUGCUUUGGUGCCUUCGGGAACUGUGAGACAGGUGCUGCAUGGCUGUCGUCAGCUCGUGUUGUGAAAUGUUGGGUUAAGUCCCGCAACGAGCGCAACCCUUAUCCUUUGUUGCCAGCGGUCCGGCCGGGAACUCAAAGGAGACUGCCAGUGAUAAACUGGAGGAAGGUGGGGAUGACGUCAAGUCAUCAUGGCCCUUACGACCAGGGCUACACACGUGCUACAAUGGCAUAUACAAAGAGAAGCGACCU
RNAcentral lists this ribosomal RNA (383 nucleotides) under Klebsiella pneumoniae. Its description in RNAcentral is "bacterial SSU rRNA". It matches the Rfam family "Bacterial small subunit ribosomal RNA", at positions 872 to 1255 of the family's 1533-position model. The record is from RNAcentral. Lineage: Bacteria; Pseudomonadati; Pseudomonadota; Gammaproteobacteria; Enterobacterales; Enterobacteriaceae.